GGGCCCGCACAAGCGGAGGAACAUGUGGUUUAAUUCGAUGAUACGCGAGGAACCUUACCCGGGUUUGAACGCAUUUGGACCGGCGGUGAAAGCCGCUUUCUAGCAAUAGCCAAUUGCGAGGUGCUGCAUGGUUGUCGUCAGCUCGUGCCGUGAGGUGUCGGCUUAAGUGCCAUAACGAGCGCAACCCUUACGAUUAGUUACCAUCAGGUGAAGCUGGGGACUCUAAUCGGACUGCCAGCGUAAGCUGUGAGGAAGGUGGGGAUGACGUCAAAUCAGCACGGCCCUUACAUCCGGGGCGACACACGUGUUACAAUGGGUGGGACAGCAAGCAGCAAUCGGGCGACCGUGAGCCAAUCUUCUAAACCCCAUCUCAGUUCGGAUCGGAGUCUGCAACCCGACUUCGUGAAGCUGGAUUCGCUAGUAAUCGCGCAUCAGCCAUGGCG
This 443-nucleotide ribosomal RNA is filed under the name uncultured Bacteroidota bacterium. Its description in RNAcentral is "bacterial SSU rRNA". It matches the Rfam family "Bacterial small subunit ribosomal RNA", at positions 917 to 1359 of the family's 1533-position model. Lineage: Bacteria; Pseudomonadati; Bacteroidota. The record is from RNAcentral.